Molecule: long non-coding RNA, 4729 nt
Organism: Acinonyx jubatus (cheetah)
Lineage: Eukaryota; Metazoa; Chordata; Mammalia; Carnivora; Felidae
Exons: 2
Source: RefSeq, a predicted model, not a curated record
AAACUAGGCAGCUGGCCUCGUGAAUGAACGAAGGAAGGAAGGACCGAAGGGACGAAAGGUUGAGUGAGUGAAGAGCGCGGGAAAGAAGGACCUCCGAGGGCCAAGGGCGGGGCGACACCCCCUCGUUCCCUCUCCCGGCCCCCCCCCCCCCCCCCCCGCCACGGCCUUGGCUGGCUCGCGCGCACAGUGGGGGCAGGGCCAGCCAAGGUAGAUGACGAGGCCGCAGCUGGUUUAGUUUAAGAGGCUCCGGCAGGGAGGGAAGGGGGCGAGUAUACAGGGGGCGUCCAGACCCCGCGGAGGAAGUGACUCACUCAGAAAACGCCACCGCCGACAACCCCCCUCGCAGCCGGAGGGAGGGGCGGGGCCUGGCCGGCCACGCCCCUGCCAGGCGCGGGGCCGGACCCUCGGGCUCCAAGCCGCCUGCCCCCGCCCCCCAUCCGCACCCCCUCACCUCUUGGCUUCGGGGGCCACCUCGCCCCGCACUCUGAGGCACUCGCCAGGUUUGAGAUUCAGGUUGCUGGCGACCAGACCCUGCAAAGACGAGACCACAACCAGCCGGGUUAGAGGACGCAGUGCCCGGGGGUGGGGCGGCGGGGUGGGGUCGUCCCCGCCCGGGAUCCUCUGACCCGGCCUGCGGAAAGCCUGGGGAAUCGGUAGCAAGUUCUAGACUCUUUCUCUGUGUGGUCCUGGGCAAGUGCCUGCUCCCAACCGGGUCCUUUUCCUAUCUGUAACACGACUGAGGUCGUAGAAGCCAAGAUCUGAAGUUUUUGCGGUUCGGCUUGAGGAUUUUGGAUUCAGAGUGGCUAUGCUCCAUCCCUUGGUUUAAUAGAUGGAGAGAAUCUGACUCGGAACGGGGCCACUGAGGCCCAGAAGAAAGAAGGCCCUUGUUCAAAGCCACACCCUGGGGACUAGAACCCAGAUCAUCUGCGCCUAAUCUCCUCUGCCCCCACGCCAUCCCUGGGCCUUGGAGCGGGGUCCCCGCACUCACGCAAGCCAUGACUGAGGACAGGAGGAUGUUCCUGCGGACUGCGGCACCAGCGGUCUCAAGACUCUAGGAGAGAGAUGGGCCCCCGGGGCCGCUCCCACCCUUUUAACUGGACCAGACUCCGGUGAGUCCCGCCCCCCUGGGCGCCCAACCAAUUGUAAGUCAGGACAGAGAAGGGGGCCCCACUGGAGGCGGAGUCAAUGGAAUUUUGAAGCCCUUCGGGAGCAGAGGUGACCAAUUGGAGCGGUAAACCCCCUUCUUCUUUAACCACUCCCCCCGGGGUCCAGGCUCCACCUCCCAUUCUCCUUCAUCCCUCCCCACCCCCCACCCAAAAAAUUGUGCUGUGGCAGGGAUUGGGGGAAGCCAAUGGAAAAUAGUUUGAGGAUGAGUUAGGCACGAGAGUUGGCGGGAAGGGGGCCUAGGGCCAGCAGGCCGAGCUCCGGGGGUAGCCAGAGAAGAUGGCUGAGGGGAUACAGGGUCCUUCAGGGAAUUAGAAUUGGGGUUCUUGAGGCUGCCCUGGCAGGGACCAGGGCGUGGCCGCGCUGCAAGGCCUCUGCAGAGAGCCCAGGACCAUUAACCACAAGGCCCUGGCCCCACCCGGGCCUCCCCCGGAAGCAGGGAUUGUGGCUGGUGUUCAGGCUUCUCGCUAGCGCUAAAGAAAGGCUGGGCAGGGUGCCAGGCCUGACGCUGCCUCCGGGGCUCAGGCCUCAGGCCUCAGGCCUCAGUCCUCCUGAGGGGCCUGCUGGGGAUCUUCCAAAAGCCCCUGCCUGACAGCCUCCUGCCUGAGAGUCAGGCCUGCGAGGCGGCCCGGGAUGGGCCGAGCGGUGAAGGGUUGGGGUCCCCCCUCUGAACAUCCCCCCCUUCUGCUCUCUUCCCAUCUGUCUCUCCAAGGCUAGGCACUGCCUUUUCUUUCUCUAGUCAUUUAGCACAUAUUUUACUGAGCAUCUACUAUGCGCUGGCCUGUGAGGAGUCAAAGGUGAACUCCAUCCAGCCCCUGCUUUCAGGUAGCACACUGCUGGGGCCGGACCUGGCCAUGAACCUGAGUAAGUAGCAUGUUGCUGGCUCUAAGGGGAGUCAUGAACAAGCACCGUGGUGCCAAGGAGACUGUCCGGAGUGUGAAGAAGGUGGGUUUUGAAGGACGGAUGAAGAAGGAGGGCCUGGCUUUCCAGCGUGAGCAAGGGCGCAGACCGGAACAGUGAACAUCUGGGCACGGCUGGAGUUUGGGGUAUGUUGGGGAAAGAUGGGGCAUGGGGCCAGGAGACCAACAGUACGUGGAUCAUGAAGGGCCUCUUUAAGGGGCUUGGGCAUUGUUUUAACUGAGGGUGCUGGGGAGCCAUAGAAGGUUAUAGGGAAGGUGAGUAUUGAGGACAGACACAAGUUACAGGGAAGAUCGCUGCAGCAAGAGUUGAGGGUGGAUUGGAGGGGUGCUCACCUCAUACCCAGGAGCCAGGAGGAGAGAGGGGGAUGGGGAGCACUAGGCAAGGUGGGGCACUUACUCGGAGAGUUGUCAUUGGGACCUCCUUCUCCGCAUUGCCAUCUCCCUUCUGAAAUUGCCAGCACCGAAGAUGUGGACCAGGAGAGACUCACAUCUGGAGGCCAGGCCCUCCGCUGCCCCCCCCUCCACCCCACCUUCCUCCGGAUGACUGAAGCCCACCCCUGGCACAGGAGGAGUGGGAAGAGGGGGGGCUCAUUGGGCCUCGACGCAGGCCACCCCCUGUCUGAGCCCAUCACCCCUCGGAGACCAAGCCUCCGAAACCAACCACAGCUGUUUCAGUUUUUCCUCCAGGGCCUCUCCUAAACCUCAACGCAGGGAGGGGGUGGGCGGAGCCAGUUCCGAGGCCUUUCCUGUGUGCUUCCCCUCCAAGGGCCACGGACACCCUCCGCCUGAUCAAGCAAUAGGGGCAUUUGAGGAGUCCUGGACCGAGGAGCAGAGGUGGUUCCGGCACAGUCCUUUCCUGGCUGCGUCGCGUGGGUCUGGCUGGCUGUCCCAGCCCAGCAGGUGGGCUCCCAGGGCAUCAAGAGCUGCUUCCCCCCUGCUUCCCCCAACUUGGAAGACAGGCCCAGCACCACGAAGCGUUUGCUGUUGGACGAGGGGCUGCUUUAUUCUGCAGGGUCUGGCCAGCUGAGGGCUGGUAGAGAAUCAGCAUGGCGUGGGGAACAGGCCUCCAGAAAGGCCCCUCUGGGAGUCUGGGGAGUUGGAAUCCGGUCCCAGCCCUGCCACGCCGCCCCCCAGGGCAUCCUGGCAAAUCAGUCUGCCCAUCUGUAAACUGGGGAGGUGAAACCCUGCUCUCCUACACAAGGUUGCUACGGGGUGGAAUUCAUGUCUGUUGCACUAAAUAGGUGAUUCCCCACCCCGACCCCUCCCCCCGCAAUCUCAGAAGGUUUUAGCUUCCCUCUUGUCUCUUUCUAGGCUGAGCUUACCUUUCUGGGGUCAACACCUCUGGGAAGUCUCCCUCUUACCCCCACCUGACCCCCAACAGUCCCUGCCUGCCUAUGCUGGAGCAGGGAGUCUCUCCAGAUUCCAGUGUCCCCUGUAACAGGGGUCAUGGUUUUCCCGGGUGGGGGCAGGGACCAGGUGCACUGUGUGUGCCGAGCUCCCGCCCAGUCCUCGGGGCCUCCUAGCGAUGGCACCCACUUAUCUGCCCGGCCCUGUGCCCGGCGCCUUGCUUUCAUACAUUAUCUCAUUUCAUCUACACCUCCCCUCUGCCUGAUGCUUGCCAGCUGGGAUGUACCGCACAGGGAAGCCGCUCCGGGCCCUGAAAUGAAUGAAGCUGGUGUCAGAAUCGGGAGAAGGGAGGCGAGUCCUAAUUUGGGGGCUGCCUGGCUGUGACUGCGGCCAAGGACCUUACCCUCGCUGAACCUGUUUCCAGGCCUGGAAAGUGGGAACGUUAGCAUUCACUGACUGGCUGCAGGAUUACAGAGGUGAUGUGUGGGGGGCUCCACAUUAGUUCUCUCUUCUGCACCCUCAAGGCCAAGGCUCCCCACCAGGGGGGCUCUCUUUCUCCCUCACUGCUCUGCAGCAGAGGCAGUGAACUCUCUGGAAUAUUCCCCCUUUCUAACAGGCAGCUCUACAGGCUGGACCUUGGCCGCUGCUGUUAGAAAUGAGCUCAGCACCUCUGGACAGGGGACCCAGGCCAGCGCGGCCCUUCCCAGACUGCCGACUCCUGCCCUGUCCUGCCCGCUCCUGCCCUGCCCAUGUGAAGGCAGUCCCUCCUCCAGCCGGCAGUGGCAGGGAGGGCUGCCAGACGCAUUGAAACACCAUCCACACCCCUCAGCCAACCUGACUGGCCCAGCCAGGGAUGGUGGAGGUGACCAGAGCAGGCUCCUAAGUCCUAGAAGUCAGAGCAGGAAACGACCCCAGAGAUUCUGCACCUGAUCUGCUCCCUCAUUUAAGGAUGGAGCAGAAGCCACCCAAAGAGACCGGCUACUUGGCCAAGGUCACACAGGGAGCUAGGGCUGAAGUGACUUCCGUCUAUGGAGCCAAAGAAAGAACGUGAUCCAGGGAUACCUGGACCUCAAAAACUGAUCUUUUCCGGGGCGCCUGGGUGGCUCAGUCGGUUAAGCGGCCGACUUCGGCUCAGGUCAUGAUCUUGCGGGUUUGUGGGUUCGAGCCCCGCGUCGGGCUCUGUGCUGACGGCUCAGAGCCCGGAGCCUGCUUCGGGUUCGGUGUCUCCUUCGCUCUCAGCCCCUCCCCCACUUGUGCUCGGACUCUCUCUCUCAAAACUACAUAAAUGUAAAAAACAA